Molecule: ribosomal RNA, 467 nt
Filed under: uncultured bacterium
Lineage: Bacteria
Description: partial 16S ribosomal RNA
Rfam family: Bacterial small subunit ribosomal RNA
Source: RNAcentral
GGCGAACGCUGGCGGCGUGCUUAACACAUGCAAGUCGAACGGAAAGGCCCUGCUUUUGUGGGGUGCUCGAGUGGCGAACGGGUGAGUAACACGUGAGUAACCUGCCCUUGACUUUGGGAUAACUUCAGGAAACUGGGGCUAAUACCGGAUAGGAGCUCCUGCUGCAUGGUGGGGGUUGGAAAGUUUCGGCGGUUGGGGAUGGACUCGCGGCUUAUCAGCUUGUUGGUGGGGUAGUGGCUUACCAAGGCUUUGACGGGUAGCCGGCCUGAGAGGGUGACCGGCCACAUUGGGACUGAGAUACGGCCCAGACUCCUACGGGAGGCAGCAGUGGGGAAUAUUGCACAAUGGGCGGAAGCCUGAUGCAGCAACGCCGCGUGCGGGAUGACGGCCUUCGGGUUGUAAACCGCUUUCGCCUGUGACGAAGCGUGAGUGACGGUAAUGGGUAAAGAAGCACCGGCGAACUACGU